RNAcentral lists this ribosomal RNA (425 nucleotides) under uncultured bacterium. RNAcentral's name for it is "bacterial SSU rRNA". It matches the Rfam family "Bacterial small subunit ribosomal RNA", at positions 356 to 773 of the family's 1533-position model. The record is from RNAcentral.
AGGGAAUAUUGCGCAAUGGACGAAAGUCUGACGCAGCAACGCCGCGUGGAUGAUGAAGCAUUUCGGUGUGUAAAAUCCUGUCGGUGGGGAAGAAAAGUAUGAUGAGUAACUGCUUCAUACCUGACGGUACCCACAGAGGAAGUCCCGGCUAACUCCGUGCCAGCAGCCGCGGUAAUACGGGGGGGACGAGCGUUGUUCGGAUUUACUGGGCGUAAAGGGCGCGUAGGCGGGUCUUCAAGUCGGAUGUGAAAACUACCAGCUUAACUGGUAGCCUGCAUUUGAUACUGUUGAUCUUGAGUACGGGAGAGGAGAGUGGAAUUCCAGGUGUAGCGGUGAAAUGCGUAGAUAUCUGGAAGAACACCAGUAGCGAAGGCGGCUCUCUGGACCGAUACUGACGCUCAAGCGCGAAGGCUUGGGGAGCAAAC